AUUCUCUCCUGGCGGAGGGCCUACUGUGUGUCCGGAGCUGCAAGUGAACAACACGACAAAACGCCCUGGCCUCGCGGAGCUGAUCCUGCCCUGCCCUGUAACUCGGGUGUCUCCGCGGGCCGAGCCUGGCACACAAUGAGAGCAGUGAGGCACAGAGAAGGUGACCGCCUGAGGUAUCUCGGUUGGUAAGCAGCAGCGCUGGGCUUGGAAUCAGGUUUGAACCUGCAGCAUGUGACCUGCUGCUCUCUGAAUGCUGUUGCUACACGAGGUUAUUCUGCUGCUAUGGAGCAGGCUGCUUGUAGCUGGGCCUGAAGCUGGCAUUUCCAGGACUUGGUGCUUCUGCUGAGAUGGAAUCUCACUCUGUUGCCUAGGCCAGAUGGAGUGCAGUAGUGCGAUCUCGGCUCACUGCAGCUGCUGCCUCCAGGGUUCAAGCAACUCUCCUGCUUCAGCCUCCUGAGUAGUGAGAUUACAGGUAUGCACCACAACACCCAGCUAAUUUUUCUAUCUUUAGUAGAGAGGGGGUUUCACCAUGUUGGCCAGGCUGGUCUGGAACUCUUGACCUUAGGUGAUCCGCCUGCCUCGGCCUCCCAAAGUGCUAGGAUUACAAGUACGAGCCACCGCGCCUCACCUAUUCUGCUAGCCUAUUCUGCUAAUUUUUAAGUCUGUGCAACUUUCAAGGGAGAUUAAAUCCCUAUAUGCCCUACUCAUUUUACACCAAAGUCAUCAAAAUGUGGCUUCCAAGGCCCCUUUGAAGUCCUAAAACUAAACAUGUGGUCAAGGGGCCCAAGUGUUAUAAGUGCAUCGGAAACAAAGAAACAUGUUAAUAAAAUGUUUCCUUCUUGGCAGCA
RNAcentral lists this long non-coding RNA (848 nucleotides) under Pongo abelii (Sumatran orangutan). RNAcentral's name for it is "lincRNA". The record is from RNAcentral. Lineage: Eukaryota; Metazoa; Chordata; Mammalia; Primates; Hominidae.